GCCCGGAUGGUGGAAUUGGUAGACACAAGGGACUUAAAAUCCCUCGGCCCUGCGGCCGUGCCGGUUCGACCCCGGCUCCGGGUACCA
RNAcentral lists this transfer RNA (87 nucleotides) under Candidatus Accumulibacter phosphatis. RNAcentral describes it as "tRNA-Leu". It matches the Rfam family "tRNA". Rfam says of the family: Transfer RNA (tRNA) molecules are approximately 80 nucleotides in length. The record is from RNAcentral. Lineage: Bacteria; Pseudomonadati; Pseudomonadota; Betaproteobacteria. RNAcentral also lists the same sequence under 3 other names.